UUCAGCCAGCUUGGUUACUGGAUUGAUCUACGAUAAAGUAUAAGAACUGUUCAAUUGUUGAGCAACCCACUUCCAUCUGAAAUUGAAGUAAAGGACUGCAACGAUAUCACCUUCUUCUUUUUU
Long non-coding RNA from Daphnia pulicaria, 123 nucleotides. RefSeq lists it as uncharacterized. The transcript is spliced from 3 exons. Lineage: Eukaryota; Metazoa; Arthropoda; Branchiopoda; Diplostraca; Daphniidae. The record is from RefSeq and is a predicted model, not a curated record.